RNAcentral lists this ribosomal RNA (301 nucleotides) under uncultured bacterium. Its description in RNAcentral is "partial 16S ribosomal RNA". It matches the Rfam family "Bacterial small subunit ribosomal RNA", at positions 509 to 809 of the family's 1533-position model. The record is from RNAcentral.
CAGUCGCCGCGGUAAUACGUAGGUGGCAAGCGUUGUCCGGAAUUAUUGGGCGUAAAGCGCGCGCAGGCGGAUCGGUCAGUCUGUCUUAAAAGUUCGGGGCUUAACCCCGUGAUGGGAUGGAAACUGCUGAUCUAGAGUAUCGGAGAGGAAAGUGGAAUUCCUAGUGUAGCGGUGAAAUGCGUAGAUAUUAGGAAGAACACCAGUGGCGAAGGCGACUUUCUGGACGAAAGCUGACGCUGAGGCGCGAAAGCCAGGGGAGCGAACGGGAUUAGAUACCCCUGUAGUCCCUGUCUCUUAUACA